UACGGAGGAUGCGAGCGUUAUCCGGAUUUAUUGGGUUUAAAGGGAGCGUAGACGGGAUGUUAAGUCAGCUGUGAAAGUUUGGGGCUCAACCUUAAAAUUGCAGUUGAAACUGGCAUUCUUGAGUGCGGCAGAGGCAGGCGGAAUUCGUGGUGUAGCGGUGAAAUGCUUAGAUAUCACGAAGAACUCCGAUUGCGAAGGCAGCUUGCUGGAGCGUAACUGACGCUGAGACACGAAAGUGUGGGGAGCAAACAGG
This 253-nucleotide ribosomal RNA is filed under the name uncultured bacterium. RNAcentral's name for it is "partial 16S ribosomal RNA". It matches the Rfam family "Bacterial small subunit ribosomal RNA", at positions 524 to 776 of the family's 1533-position model. The record is from RNAcentral.